AAGUCGUAACAAGGUUUCCGUAGGUGAACCUGCGGAAGGAUCAUUAUCGAGAGAGGGAUUUACGGCCGCUCGCGGCCCAUGUCCCAGGGGGCUUCCCCCAAUUCUCCAACCCUAUGUGUACCAACCUCCGUUGCUUCGGCGAGCGUCGGGGUGCCACCGUGCGCCCCGGCCCCGGUUUCGGCCGGUGCGUUCUCGCCGGAGGCCCGAUUCCAUUCUGUUUGCAGCCCCGUCCGAGCGUACCGAUUAAAUUCACAAUCAAAAACUUUCAACAACGGAUCUCUUGGUUCUG
RNAcentral lists this unclassified non-coding RNA (289 nucleotides) under air metagenome. Its description in RNAcentral is "partial contains small subunit ribosomal RNA, internal transcribed spacer 1, and 5.8S ribosomal RNA". The stretch from base 1 to 46 matches the Rfam family "Eukaryotic small subunit ribosomal RNA", at positions 1786 to 1831 of the family's 1831-position model. The record is from RNAcentral.